GACAGAGGGUGCAAACGUUGUUCGGAAUUACUGGGCCUAAAGCGCACGUAGGUGGUUCGCUAAGUCGCGUGUGAAAUCCCUCGGCUCAACCGAGGAAUUGCGGGCGAUACUGGCGAGCUAGAGAUCGGGAGGGGUGAGUGGAACUCCAGGUGGAGCGGUGAAAUGCGUAGAUAUCUGGAGGAACACCGGUGGCGAAGGCGGCAUCCUGGACCGGUAUUGACGCUGAGGCGCGAAAGCCAGGGGAGCAAACGGG
RNAcentral lists this ribosomal RNA (253 nucleotides) under uncultured bacterium. Its description in RNAcentral is "partial 16S ribosomal RNA". It matches the Rfam family "Bacterial small subunit ribosomal RNA", at positions 524 to 776 of the family's 1533-position model. The record is from RNAcentral.